GAAAAUGUCCUACCCUGGAUGGCACCUACGCUGGCAGCGCAUCAACCCGGACCGACAACGACACGAACCAAAUGAACUGGGCGGCACGGACUCUUUUGCCGCCGGGUAAAGGAAGAGAUGGGAAUAGCGGAGUUCAGCGGCCGGCGGCUUUCCUCGUCCGAACCGUACAUCACCUCCUCGUCCGAGUCGUUGAUCAUCGAGAACGUUGGAUUAUCCUUCGCUAUGAUCGGUUCUGCAAGGGCACCAUGUGGAAAAUAGAGAGAGGCGUGCUAUUUUGCGUGUGAGCAAAGAGCCGACAAGCUUACCGUGCACGGCCGGACCGCUCGGCGAGUAGACGUAGGCCAUCGCGUACAGAUAGAAGUUCAGCAAACCGUAGAAGCACAUAAACUGGGCCGAGCUUUUGUAGCUCGUGUACAGCUGCGCAAUGAAGUUGUCUUCGAGCGUGUCGAAGCCGAAAUGUUGCAUCGUGACGAUCAGCGAAAUUGACAGCACGAUCAGCAUCAGCAGGGUGAGGAUUUUUAGUCGCAUAUCUGCAUUUGAAACAAAAAAACGAACGCGGUGAACAGUUUUGAAAAUGCAGGAUGAACCCCCUUCCCCCUUCCUUACCGAAAUAUGGCAUCGAUCGGAGCUCGGAGUACGCCUUCAGCAUCAGCAGUCCCAGAUAGAGUCGGUUUCCGCUCCCGCCGACGUACGUUAUAGUUUUCCGAGUCCUCGAAAUGGCUGUACGUUGGGUCGUUCAGCUCAUCGCACUUCUCCCAGAUGCCGAGCACCACGGCGCACAGCCAGAUCGGCAGCACGACGAUCAGCUUCGGCAGGUAGAAGGUAAGCAGCUUGCGCUCGUUCUGCCGCAGCCCGUGGUACACGCACAGCCAGAACAUGAGAAUGCCGCAGAGGAAGGUGGUCUGGAGCAGGGCGUCGAUCAUGCCCGGCAGCCAGCUGUUCGCGAUGAAGAUGAGCGGAAACAGCGGAUCUGUAACGGGAAAGGGAGUUUGAAUGUGAAUGGUAGCAUCGCCGCCACCUUUUGAUGCUUUUCAGUGGUUCAUUUCAAUAGCAAGCAUGACUGCUACUACGUCCAGUUUCUUUUUAGCUACUUUAAAACAUGUAAAACAUGCUAUCAGGCUACUAAAAGCGCAACCAAUGCUGCAAAAUUUCACUGUCAAUGUCAUAAUACUGACUGAAACAAAAUCUAUUUUAGCGUCACGUACUCAAUUGUGAUAAUCAGAGAUAAUGCUCAACAAGUUGUUGUGUUCAAUACAUUCUUCGUGACAUUUUUGCGACCAACGCUUGGUCAGUCACUGUGUGAUGACUUUUUUUUUACUGUGAUCAGUUCUGCAAAAUCUCACUGACAUAGUCAUGACUAAUUCCGACUGAAACAAAAUCAUGUCAGCGUCACGAGGAUCACACACGAGGAUGUCAUCAUAGGAGAGGAUCAGAGGUGAGACCAUCACAUGCUUGGUGACAUUUUGUGCUCAUUCAAUUGGUCGCGACAUUUUCUGUCGGUGUACAUCACAAUAGUCAUGGAUAUGCGAUGCGUGCGAGUGGUUUUAAGAAACAAAAUGAGCAUGGUUUCUCGCUCUGUUUGACUCGACAGUCCACCAGACAGAGACAACCAGACAGAGCGAGAAAGCAAGCAUUUUGCUGUGUGGGACCGCGCGCCAAGUAUAUUCCAAGCUUGUCGUGAUUAUCAUUGGGAGAAAAUGUCAUGACCAAGUGAGGGACCAAGAGUUAAUUGCUAUAAAAAAUGUCACCAAGCAUGUGAUUGGUUCACCAGCUGUUUGAGUCUCACCACUGAUCAUCACAGUUUUGUACGUGAGCUGAUUUGAUCUUCGUUUCAGGCAUGAGAGUUGGUGAUUGAAGCAGUGGCAUGUGACAGCACUGUUCACAGCCAUAAAAAAGUAAUGAUUAUGCUUGCGCCGGCAUAGUCAGUCAGAGUAUCCCGUUGGACACAAGCAUUCGCAUUUAGCGCUCGGCAUGUCAUGACGCACUUUCAUGGAGUUUCGGCAACGAACAUCAAGUUACCACAUCAAGCUGAUGGUCGUGACAUUUUGCAGCAAUGAGUACAACCAAGGUUACCCGAAGCAACGUACAUAAUCGAGACGAAAAAAAGUGUACGUACUGUUAAACAGCAGCAGCAGCGGCAACAGUAUCGAGAGCCACUUCUGCUCGAUCGACCAGUCGCCCAUCGGGUACUUCCGCAGCGUGUGAGCAAACCAGCACGUGAUGAUGAACGUGAACAGCACGAAGAUGAACCGGAACCAGAUCUCGAUCUGCGUGAACGCGGGAUUGUACGACUUGAAGUAGAACUGCACGGUCCGGAUGUUGUACCGCUGGUGGAACGCCUCCAGCCCGUAGAACUGCACCGUCACGAUGUAGUGCGCGUAGUCGAGGAAGCCGAUGUGCAGCACGGUAAACUCGUCGCACUCCUCGUAGCUGCAGGACAGGUGGCGGGUGCGGUUCCGCACGUCCGUGCCGCCAUUGUGCGCGCCGCCGUACACCGGCAUCGGCUUGUGGUCGACUGUCAGCCCCUCGAUCUGCACGCUCAGGUGGAACUUUUUGUCCACCAUCUCGUCGUCCGUGUUGUCGGUCGUCAGCUUGGCAAUGAUCCACAGCUGCUGCGAGUAGGUGGUCAGCAGCGGGGUGCGCAUCACAAACGGGCCGCGGGCCAGGUAGGCGCCCGGUGCCCCGUCGCCGGCCGCCGCCGCCACCGUGCCGUUCGGCUGCAGCGAGCCGCCGCUCACCUUGCUCAUCACCGUGAUGGGCGGGCCGGCCAGCCCGAUGAAGAUGCCGAGCCCGAAGCAGGCGAAAAAGGCUAGGAAGACGGUCGCGAACUCGCGCUUGUUCAUCGAGUACAGCCGCAUGUGGACGGACCGCUCGCACCGGUCGUGAUGGUACGCCGGGGCGAUGUAUUUGUUGAACUCGCUGAACAGAUCGCUGAACUGGGCGAGACUCUGGCGCAACCGGAGGCACAUCCCGGCGGGCGUGACGUACGAGUAGCCCAGCUUGGACGCAUCCUCCGGCGGUUUGGACGCGCUGGAGGCAGCCAUCGUACCGACCUGCCUAUUGUUCGGUUGGUGGUGGUGGCGGUGGUGGUUGCUGCGGUUGAUUGGGUUUGAGCCCGGUGGUGCCCGAUUCCGAUGCCGUCUGGCGCACUUUGGGGCAGCUACUGCGGGCAGCGCAAGGUACGAGCGACACCGUACCGUGUUGACAUAUGUUAAAUAUGUUGAUGUUGAGCCGUGCCAGCCCGCACUGCCGCCUCGGCUCGCACUCGGCUCUCAAAAAUAAUGAUUUGCGCCUCCUUACACGUAUGCCAUCGGUCGAGGCUGUGAAAACAGUGCCGUUUUUUGGGGUUUCGGGCGCGUGUUACACUUCACUUCACGUUGCAGUAUUCUACCUUUUUCGUGGGCUAAUGAUUUUCGACGUCGCAAUUAGUUCACAUUAUCUGCCUAGAAAGGGAGAGGGUGCACAAUCACACACACACACACAUACAGAUGCACACGCGGGAUGAGAGCCACUGUUUUGUGUUGCACUGUGUCCUCUGUCCGAGCGAAACCCCGUGGUCGCUUCGGAUACUCCUAACGCGGAGCAUGCGCAUUCCCUAUAGAGCCCACAGAAGAGGGGAAAAAAUCGAGGAACGCUUGCAUGCGUGUGACAAGCGAAAAUGUAAACUUGCUGUAACACUGUUGUUGUGGAAUUAUGUGGAAUGUACGUUACAUGGUAUCAAGAAGCGAUGGAUGAUUUGUAAAAUUAUAAGAACAGCUUGUAAGUCUACCAUUAAUUUAUUAUAAAUGAAACAAAAUGUACAACACACAGACAGGCGACACACUGCAGUGGCAUUUAUUUAUCGAUUUAGUGUUUGAAUUGAUCAUUUUCGAGCAGUCAGUGCAAACUUUAGUAUCUCAAAGCACAAGCGGGCGAACAGUGAAAGCUUGCAGUAGACUGCUCGAAAUCAAUUUUUGAAUUGAAGCUUUUGGCUUCUCACUGUUGAAGCUUAAAAAAAACUAGAAGAAAACUUGAAAAAGCGAAUGUGAAAAAACAGAUGAUAUUUCCUUUUCUUUCUGUAUUAUGUAUAGCGCAACGUCAAUAGUAAACAGUAAAGAAAAAAGCUCUUAGUAUCUGCUGAUGUAUGAAAGGAUACAUAGACACAGGGGUUGAAAUUGAAAUACAAUCUAGCAAGUAAUCAAAACUGGCAAAAAUGUGGCUGUGUUGAAAACAAUCAACUAAAAUGAUGAUGCUAGAGAAAGGUAAAACUGGAAGCUAUUCUGCAAAAUUGUAGAAGGGCUUGAAAUUUAUGUAAAGCCGUUCGAAAGUUUAGUAAAAGCAAAAGUUUAAAUACACAACUAUCAGGGGUUAAAAUUCUCUCUCUCUCUUUCUCUCUCUCUCUCUCUCUCUCUCUUUCUCUCUCUCUCUCUCUUGUUGUUCUGCUCACUAUGGAGCAUGUCGCCGUGACAUGCCCGGCCAAGGUCUCGCUUCACACCUUCUUGGAGGGGCAUGAGUCCGGCAUCCUCAUGGCAUGCCCUAGCCAUCGUAUCCUGCCAGCGUUCGCCACCGUCAGGAUGCUUGGUUCGCCGUAUAUCUCAGCAAGAUUGUGGUUUAUCCUUCUCCUUCAAACUCUAUGCUAGAACACACCGCCAAGGAUGGCCCGGAUGAUGCGUCGCUCAAACACGUCCAGAGCAUUUGCAUCCUCCGCUCGAAUAGUCCAAGACUUGUAUCCAUAGAGGAACACCGGAUGAAUCAAUGUGCGAUAUAUCUCAGAUUUCGUGCGGGCUCAAAGUCUUUUGGAUGUCAGCAGUCGGUGAAGCCCAUAGUAUGCACGAUUCUCCUGCAUAAUGCGUCUCCGGAUUUCGCUGCUGAUGUCGUUGUCUGAAGUAACGACCGUCCCAAGAUAGCAGAACUCUUCUAUCAUUUCCAGGGUAGUCGCCAUCAACUAAUACACUACGUUCCAGUUGGGCCUUAUCACGGACUGAGUCUCCGCCAAGCAGAUACUUCGUCAUUGAUUCUCAAAUCCAAUUCUUGCUACUUCGCGUUUGAGUCGGGUGUACGCCUCACAAACAGUCGCUGUCGUCGAAUUACACCUUCCAGGGCGAUGAAGAGCAGACAGGAGAGUCCGCCACCAGUGCCUCAGACCCCUGUGAGAUUUGAACGAUUCCGACGUCUAGUUCGAUACUCUCACCUUGCACUGUACCCCGGUCAUGGUAGUGUUGGUCAUGAAUAUUUCGUUGAGAUUCAUUCAUAUGAAUUUUCAGUGAUGAGUGAUUCGAAUCUUGAGUCGCAUCUUCAAAGAUUCAUGAAUCUCUAAAGAUUCACGAAUCUUCAAAGAUUACGAAUUUGUAGCAAGGGUCGCAAGUCUGCAAAACAGGAUAUGGCACAGUAUCUUGUAGACGGCAUUGAGGACUGUGAUGGCACUAAAAUUCGAGAGUACCAGCCUGUAACCCUUUUUGUAGACUGAAUGAAUGACACCCAGCUUCCACUCCUCCGGUAGUUCCUCCUGCUCCCAGAUUUUCAUGAUCAGCUGAUGCAUUUCGAAAAAUCCUCCGGUCCCAUUUUGAAGAGCUCGGCCGCCAGUCCAUCACUGCCAGCAGACUUAUUACUUUGAAGCUGGUUGAUGGCGCUGGAAAUCUCAUCCAGAGAUGGCGAAGGCAUCUCGUCAUCUGCAUCAUUGAUGUCGCUGUUGUUGCUGCUAUCCUGCUGUUGCAGUGGUGGUUGCCUAUUCUGGUUGUUAUUCUGCCACUUGCACCAGCCUUGAAAGCCUGGCGUUUGCUUUUUGUUGUUACCUGUUUCUAUAAUGCAAUUUGAUUGAUCAUGAAAUGUAUGUUUGAAUUGUUUCUGAAAGUAGUGAAACGCCCUUUACAUCAUUAAGUUAAGAGUUGACUGGUCAAUACUAAAUUGUUAAAUUUUGCGUUGCGUAUUAAACAGACAUUCUCAGCUAAUAAAAAAAAA
Long non-coding RNA from Anopheles gambiae (African malaria mosquito), 5937 nucleotides. RefSeq lists it as uncharacterized. The transcript has 3 exons. NCBI's taxonomy places the organism in Eukaryota, Metazoa, Arthropoda, Insecta, Diptera, Culicidae. The record is from RefSeq and is a predicted model, not a curated record.